Molecule: ribosomal RNA, 484 nt
Filed under: uncultured bacterium
Lineage: Bacteria
Description: partial 16S ribosomal RNA
Rfam family: Bacterial small subunit ribosomal RNA
Source: RNAcentral
AUUGAACGCUGGCGGCAUGCUUUACACAUGCAAGUCGAACGGCAGCGCGGGCUUCGGCCUGGCGGCGAGUGGCGAACGGGUGAGUAAUACAUCGGAACGUGCCCAGUAGUGGGGGAUAGCUCGGCGAAAGCCGGAUUAAUACCGCAUACGACCUGAGGGUGAAAGCGGGGGAUCUUCGGACCUCGCGCUAUUGGAGCGGCCGAUGGCAGAUUAGCUAGUUGGUGGGGUAAAGGCCUACCAAGGCGACGAUCUGUAGCUGGUCUGAGAGGACGACCAGCCACACUGGGACUGAGACACGGCCCAGACUCCUACGGGAGGCAGCAGUGGGGAAUUUUGGACAAUGGGCGAAAGCCUGAUCCAGCAAUGCCGCGUGUGUGAUGAAGGCCUUCGGGUUGUAAAGCACUUUUGGCGGGAACGAAAAGGACUGUGCAAAUACCACGGUUAGAUGACGGUACCCGCAGAAUAAGCACCGGCUAACUACGUG